RNAcentral lists this ribosomal RNA (490 nucleotides) under uncultured bacterium. Its description in RNAcentral is "bacterial SSU rRNA". It matches the Rfam family "Bacterial small subunit ribosomal RNA", at positions 19 to 518 of the family's 1533-position model. The record is from RNAcentral.
CUGGCUCAGGACAAACGCUGGCGGCGUGCCUAACACAUGCAAGUCGAACGGACAUGGGGAGCUUGCUCCUCAUGUUAGUGGCGAACGGGUGGAGUAACGCGUGAGCAACCUGCCCUUCAGUGGGGGACAACAGCUGGAAACGGCUGCUAAUACCGCAUAACACAUCCGGGAGGCAUCUCCUGGAUGUCAAAGAUUUAUUGCUGAAGGAUGGGCUCGCGUCUGAUUAGUUAGUUGGCAGGGUAACGGCCUACCAAGACGACGAUCAGUAGCCGGUCUGAGAGGAUGAACGGCCACAUUGGGACUGAGAUACGGCCCAGACUCCUACGGGAGGCAGCAGUGGGGAAUAUUGGGCAAUGGGGGAAAAACCCCCUGACCCAGCAACGCCGCGUGAAGGAAGAAGGCUUUCGGGUUGUAAACUUCUUUUAUGAGGGACGAAGGACGUGACGGUACCUCAUGAAUAAGCUACGGCUAACUACGUGCCAGCCGCAGC